This is a non-coding RNA of Gossypium hirsutum (cotton), 138 nucleotides long. The record is from Rfam. NCBI's taxonomy places the organism in Eukaryota, Viridiplantae, Streptophyta, Magnoliopsida, Malvales, Malvaceae.
UGUUAAAAAUUUCAUCGUUGUUAAAAACUAGCGUGGUUAAUAGAACAAUCAAACAACUACACAUGGCGUGCCACAUGUACCUCAUUCUGACAUAAAAUGAUCAAUUUUUAAUAGUAAAAACGGAUGAAAUAUUUAAUA